UGGCACAUGGGAUUAAUUCCCUGACCAGGAUUUGAACCUGCCUCUGCUGCAUUGAAAGCAUGGAGUCUUAACCACUGGACCAUGAGGGAAGUCCCCCUGAUGAUCUUUGUAAUUGAUGGGACAAGGCUCACCAAGAGAAGAAGGAGGUGCUGCUGGUGGUGGCAGCGAAGGUAAUAGACACAGAUGGACUCCGUCUAGACGGCCUGCGGACGUGCCUGACCACUCCACCCUUGGGAAACCCUGCA
Molecule: long non-coding RNA, 245 nt
Organism: Bos indicus x Bos taurus (hybrid cattle)
Lineage: Eukaryota; Metazoa; Chordata; Mammalia; Artiodactyla; Bovidae
Source: Ensembl